CUUGGUCAUUUAGAGGAAGUAAAAGUCGUAACAAGGUUUCCGUAGGUGAACCUGCGGAAGGAUCAUUACUGAUUUGCUUAAUUGCACCACAUGUGUUUUUUAUUGAACAAAUUUCUUUGGUGGCGGGAGCAAUCCUACCGCCAGAGGUUAUAACUAAACCAAACUUUUUAUUUACAGUCAAACUUGAUUUAUUAUUACAAUAGUCAAAACUUUCAACAACGGAUCUCUUGGUUCUCGCAUCGAUGAAGAACGCAGCGAAAUGCGAUACGUAAUAUGAAUUGCAGAUAUUCGUGAAUCAUCGAAUCUUUGAACGCACAUUGCGCCCUUUGGUAUUCCAAAGGGCAUGCCUGUUUGAGCGUCAUUUCUCCCUCAAACCCCCGGGUUUGGUGUUGAGCAAUACGCUAGGUUUGUUUGAAAGAAUUUACGUGGAAACUUAUUUUAAGCGACUUAGGUUUAUCCAAAAACGCUUAUUUUGCUAGUGGCCACCACAAUUUAUUUCAUAACUUUGACCUCAAAUCAGGUAGGACUACCCGCUGAACUUAAGCAUAUCAAUAAGCGGAGGA
Molecule: ribosomal RNA, 563 nt
Filed under: uncultured Candida
Lineage: Eukaryota; Fungi; Ascomycota; Saccharomycetes; Saccharomycetales
Description: eukaryotic LSU rRNA
Rfam family: 5.8S ribosomal RNA (bases 208-361)
Source: RNAcentral